AAUGCCCUGCUGUGUUUGUGUAGUACUGAUGUUUUGAGCCAACACAUUUAAGACGGGAGUCUAACUCUGAUUACAGCAUGCAGGCCCUUUUAGGGAAACAUAAAAUAAUCAGGAAGACACCCACCUGCAUAGGCAGGUUCAAAACAACGGUCAAAACGGCAUGGUGGGGAUACC
This 174-nucleotide non-coding RNA is filed under the name Anaerospora hongkongensis. RNAcentral describes it as "6S / SsrS RNA". It matches the Rfam family "6S / SsrS RNA". From Rfam's summary of the family: E. coli 6S RNA was the first non coding RNA to be sequenced, but its function was unknown until recently. It consists of 184 nucleotides that fold into an extended hairpin structure with a large single-stranded internal bulge. The record is from Rfam by way of RNAcentral. Lineage: Bacteria; Bacillati; Bacillota; Negativicutes; Selenomonadales; Sporomusaceae.